Molecule: long non-coding RNA, 2557 nt
Organism: Perognathus longimembris pacificus (Pacific pocket mouse)
Lineage: Eukaryota; Metazoa; Chordata; Mammalia; Rodentia; Heteromyidae
Exons: 3
Source: RefSeq, a predicted model, not a curated record
GAAAUGACCAGGAAAGGUUGUAUAACUGACAGGUGUGCAAGUCUCAGUCCUUGAAGGCCUGGAUCUUCUAGGAAAAUGACUCACCCUUUUGUCCCCUGCCUUUCCUGGCAUUAUGAAGAGAGAGGAGACAUAAGUCCAGUCCUUGCUGAGGAAGAAAACCCCUACGCUGAGUCUCCAUCUCGGCCUCCCCUGUCUCCAAAUCUGUCGCCUCUGGAGGCCUUGGGGGCUGUUGCCGGGCACAUAACCGAUGGGGAAUGAACACAGCCGGUAAGGGUGGCUGUGCUGUUUGGGAUCUAGAGGAGUCUAACUUGCUCCAGAGGCUCACAGCUGUCUUACCCAUGGGUAGAAGGGAAACUCAGCUCCCCUGUUGCAAAGGGAAGCGCUGCUCUGUCCAUGAUGCCCCCAUACUCUGAGUCCCGAGGGAUGCAGGAAAGAUGACAAGGACUACAGCCUGAAUGUCCAUGUCAGGGGAAGACUCCCGAGACUGGGAACAAGGAAGAAAUGGCUACGAGUGUCUGUAGGAUGACUACGCUCUCAAAACUAGGUCAGCUUUCCUUCCGCUUCUAUAUUUGAUCAUGAAAAGUAGCAAACAGAAAGCAAUACUGAAGGCAACCUACGGCAAACAUCCAUACAUCCACCACCUAGGACCUGCAUCAUGCCAUCAACCAAGCGACCCCUCUUCCCCUUCAGUGCAUUUGGGAGUAAAACCAAAGUUCCCAUCUGCUCCUGCCCCGAGCAGUGUACCUGGCAUAUGUGUGUGUUUAGGGGAAAGCCUACAUGAAGGAAACUGCUUGCGUCGAGCUGCCUUUUGAGGUCCCACAUGGGAUGCAUGUAUCUUGUCUCAUGGGGCAGGGGUGGAGGACCUUAAGGUCACGGUCUUUUCCAGGCUUCUGUGUCUUCCACCUAGUUCCCUGACCUGUGCCUGCUCUGCGUCUCCCUCCUGCCUAGCCCUCUCUCCCUGUCUCCCUCGCAGAUGAUGUGCUGACUAAAGAUGCGGGUGAGUGCGUGAUCUGCCUGGAGGAGCUGCUUCAGGGGGACACGAUAGCCAGGCUGCCCUGCCUGUGCAUCUAUCACAAAAGUUGCAUAGACUCAUGGUUUGAAGUGAACAGAUCUUGUCCGGAACACCCUGCGGACUGACCCUGCCAGGCUUGCUUGCCGACUCCUCUCAAAGGUUUAUUUUAUUUAUUCCAAGUAAAUGCCCAGAACAGCUGAUGAUGUCAGACAAAUCGGGGACAUUUGCUCUUUUUACCUUCACCUCAAAAAUCUGAUGGCAAGGGGAGAAGAAAAAGCCAGGGCGAGAGUGAGGCAGAGGGAGUGGAGCCUGGCCACCUAGUGCGGGCCAAAUCCCCAGCAUGAUGCUUGGCUUCCGGGGGCCCUGCCUGGACUGGACCACAGACGCCCCGCCAGCCCGCCCUCCUGCCCUCGGGGGGACGUGCCUCCGCCGCCGCCGCCACAGGAUGCAGUCUGGCCCUCGGCCAGAGGGAGCACAACUGACUUCUUCUGACUCACACAGGGACAGACAGCCCCUGUUCCUGGGAGGAGGCUCCUUGGACACUGGACAGAGCUGAGCUUGGGACCCCCAGAAGGAACAGGGCACCCCUUCUGCAUUGACUUCCAGAAAUCGGUCCUCCCUCCUCCUCGAGGACAGCCAGUCAGAUGAGAGCGAGUUUGAGAGAAGAGUGAAUCUACUGCUGUCGCCCUCCGCCCCGGAGGGAAAGGGCAUUUUCUUUUUCACCUUUGAAAAGUGUGUGGGUCUGUCUUUAAAGUGUUUACAAAAAAAAAUUAUAUAAAAAAAGUCUAGUGUCGACUGGUGUUUUCCCUCGUGAUGUUUACAGAUUGCUGUUUGCUGCCCCGCUGUAACUCACUCAGUGACAGAGCCACACCUAGCCAUGUCCUCGCUGCCAGCGCCCUGGCGGCCGGUGGCACACGGUCCCUUUGCCCGGUGGCCCAGUUCACUCUCUGCAUCACCAACCUCUCUGCCUGGGGCUUAUUUGGUUUUGUUUUUCCAUAUUUUUUUCUGGCUUCGUUUUGCACUUUUCUCCCCUAAGAAUCCUGAUAGCCACUUGAUUUCAUUGCCAAAAACAAAAUAAAUGCCCAUCAAGGAUUUUCUCCUACCCCGUUUCCAUAACUUCCCCUUUCUUUCCUUGUGGUUCUGGUCAGUUCCGAGGAUUUAACAAUCACAAGUAUACUGCAUAAAUACCGGAACAUUUCUUAGGUCCUUAUGGAUUUUUCCCCCCAGAAAACUUAAAACAGAUGAGCAAAAGACUUUACUAAAGAAACAUGUACCACUACCCUUGUUUUCAGACUCUCUGAGAACAUUCUAGCCAUUGAUGUUCAUAUGUGGCAUCAGCCCAUGCAAGAUAGGUUUCUGUAUUUAUAUAUUAAAAUACAAAAAAAAAACCUUUAAAAUGUUUAAAAAAAACUGUUCAAAGCUUGGGAGAAAAACCUUUCUUCAUUAGUCAAGGUGUUUUGAUAUGGUAUUAAAAUAAUGUCUAACAAAAGAUGCACUGUGUGAUUUAAUUUUAAUCAAGUACUGCUAUUCAAGUAAGAAAUGGGG